UACGUAGGGUGCAAGCGUUAAUCGGAAUUACUGGGCGUAAAGCGUGCGCAGGCGGUUAUGUAAGACAGUUGUGAAAUCCCCGGGCUCAACCUGGGAACUGCAUCUGUGACUGCAUAGCUAGAGUACGGUAGAGGGGGAUGGAAUUCCGCGUGUAGCAGUGAAAUGCGUAGAUAUGCGGAGGAACACCGAUGGCGAAGGCAAUCCCCUGGACCUGUACUGACGCUGAGACACGAAAGCGUGGGGAGCAAACAGG
RNAcentral lists this ribosomal RNA (253 nucleotides) under uncultured bacterium. Its description in RNAcentral is "partial 16S ribosomal RNA". It matches the Rfam family "Bacterial small subunit ribosomal RNA", at positions 524 to 776 of the family's 1533-position model. The record is from RNAcentral.